This is a long non-coding RNA of Neodiprion virginianus, 321 nucleotides long. RefSeq lists it as uncharacterized. Lineage: Eukaryota; Metazoa; Arthropoda; Insecta; Hymenoptera; Diprionidae. The record is from RefSeq and is a predicted model, not a curated record. The transcript has 2 exons.
CACCUGGACGAGUUUCCGUCUGAGGUCCGGUUUCAUCUCCUUGAGCAGUUCCUGGCUGUUACUGUUGAUGAACAGGUUGAGGGCAGCCUCUGCAAGUUGAAAAAUGAGGGGAUCGAUACUUUCGGACAAACAACGCUUGCAGUCCAUCUUGAGCUGCUGAAGAUGCAAGUACUGUCUGCCACCGAUUGGAGUAGGCUUGGCUCUGAUGAACACCUUGGCUUUUACACCCUCUGCAGGAAAAGAAAGGAUUAUCGUCAAAUACUUAGAAGAUUGCUAACACCGUGAUACCUCGGAAAAUAAAACCCAAAGUUUUAGACAUGA